This 344-nucleotide ribosomal RNA is filed under the name uncultured bacterium. RNAcentral describes it as "bacterial SSU rRNA". It matches the Rfam family "Bacterial small subunit ribosomal RNA", at positions 1 to 334 of the family's 1533-position model. The record is from RNAcentral.
CUAGCGACUUCAGAGUUUGAUCCUGGCUCAGGAUAAACGCUGGCGGCGUGCCUAAUACAUGCAAGUCGUACGCUGGAAGACCAAGCUUGCUUGGUUUGAAGGAGUGGCGAACGGGUGAGUAAUACAUAAGCAACCUGCCCACGAAGACUGGGAUAAUUCUUGGAAACGAGGACUAAUACCGGAUAGGUCAUCGGGAGGCAUCUUCUGAUGAUUAAAGGUGAGAAACACUGGUGGAUGGGCUUAUGGUGCAUUAGCUGGUUGGCGGGGUAACGGCCCACCAAGGCGAUGAUGCAUAGCCGGCCUGAGAGGGUGAACGGCCACAUUGGGACUGAGACACGGCCCAG